AACGCAAGUUGCGCCCGAAGCCUUCUGGCCGAGGGCACGUCUGCCUGGGUGUCACGCAACGUCGCCGCCAACCCCACCCCUAGGGGCGGGCAGUUGGGGGCGGACUUUGGCCUCCCGUGCGCCUCGGCGCGCGGAUGGCCUAAAAGCGAGUCCUAGGCGACGAGCGCCACGACAAUCGGUGGUUACCAAACCCUCGUGUCCCGUCGUGCGUGCCUCGUCGCUCAUCUUGUGCUCUGUGACCCUGUAGCGUCGCGAUCGCGACUCUUCCAAUGCGACCCCAGGUCAGGCGGGACUACCCGCUGAAUUUAA
RNAcentral lists this unclassified non-coding RNA (309 nucleotides) under Hyaloscypha sp. Its description in RNAcentral is "partial contains 5.8S ribosomal RNA, internal transcribed spacer 2, and large subunit ribosomal RNA". The record is from RNAcentral. Lineage: Eukaryota; Fungi; Ascomycota; Leotiomycetes; Helotiales; Hyaloscyphaceae.